This 398-nucleotide ribosomal RNA is filed under the name uncultured bacterium. Its description in RNAcentral is "partial 16S ribosomal RNA". It matches the Rfam family "Bacterial small subunit ribosomal RNA", at positions 523 to 918 of the family's 1533-position model. The record is from RNAcentral.
AUACGUAGGGUGCGAGCGUUGUCCGGAAUUACUGGGCGUAAAGAGCUCGUAGGUGGUUUGUCGCGUCGUCUGUGAAAUUCCGGGGCUUAACUCCGGGCGUGCAGGCGAUACGGGCAUAACUUGAGUACUGUAGGGGAGACUGGAAUUCCUGGUGUAGCGGUGAACUGCGCAGAUAUCAGGAGGAACACCGGUGGCGAAGGGGGGUCGCUGGGCAGUAACUGACGCUGAGGAGCGAAAGCAUGGGUAGCGAACAGGAUUAGAUACCCUGGUAGUCCAUGCCGUAAACGGUGGGCGCUAGGUGUAGGGGUCUUCCACGACUUCUGUGCCGUAGCUAACGCAUUAAGCGCCCCGCCUGGGGAGUACGGCCGCAAGGCUAAAACUCAAAUGAAUUGACGGGG